AAUAAGAAAAUUAAAGAAAAACUUUAUUGAAGCAAAAUAUAGCAGGAUUUUUCAUUAAAAAGAAGUAAAUGAAUGAAUUGCCUUUUAGAUAUUAAUGAAUUAUCCCCAACAAGAACUAAAAUCAAUUUUUUUAAUAUCUCAUCUAUAUGAAAAUGAAGAAGGGAAAUAAAAAGGGUUCCACCCUAACCAAAUAAGUUAAAAAAGGGGUAACAACCCUCCUAAACUUAAAAAAUAAAGGGUUUGAAUCUAAAAAGGUCCCAUCGGAUUGGAUGAUGCGGAGUGAUCGAAGCUGGAAGAUCCAUACUGGGUACGGAGAGGGGUCUCUCUGGUAGCAAAGGUUUCAGUGCUGUCUCCACAACCCUUAAGAGAAGCCAUUUACAUGACUCCACCCCUUCAUUUUAAAAAGCAUGCCCAGUAUACAUUUUCAAUCCACCCUUUGAUCCGUAGACUCCGAAUACAAAAUCUUUACGGAGCUUCCCUUUUAGUGUAAGUUGGGAUGUGAUGGAGUACACAUUCCAAGUUUUUUGCAUGGCUCCACCCCUUUAUUUUAAUCAAUUUUGUCCAUUUCAUUUCAAUUUGGAUUUUGUAAAGGGUGGAUGUUUUUGAUCGUAGAGUUAGAGUCAAAAAGAAUUGUGUGAUUUGGUGUAGAUUCUGUAUAGGUUCAUGUUCAAGUGUUUUAAAAUUGGAUAAUUCUUGUGGGAUAAUUUCUUUAUGGAAAAAAGAUCUGUCAGAAAAUACAUGAUGCAACAAAGAUACCAGAGGGACAUUCACUGGGCAUUCAAAUCCCAGUCAGGAGACUUUCGUUUUGCCUUGCCCUCAACUUCGGAUUCCCUAAGAUUACCCAGAAGAUUUCUACGCCAUAAAUAAAGCCUCUUCUGCAAAGUCUGUAGAACAUAGUCAUUUUUGACGCAAUUUAUGAAAGACUUCUUUGGACAAGUUGUGCCUUAGAUAGCAGAUCUCCAAUGGCAAUGAAAAAUAAAAGGAAAAGCCCAAAUUAACUAAACACACUUGGUUCUUAAUUCCGUUCCAUCUGAUCUUUCCUGAGAUUACA
Molecule: non-coding RNA, 1051 nt
Organism: Onthophagus taurus
Lineage: Eukaryota; Metazoa; Arthropoda; Insecta; Coleoptera; Scarabaeidae
Source: RefSeq, a predicted model, not a curated record